AACAGGAAGAAGCUUGCUUCUUUGCUGACGAGUGGCGGACGGGUGAGUAAUGUCUGGGAAACUGCCUGAUGGAGGGGGAUAACUACUGGAAACGGUAGCUAAUACCGCAUAACGUCGCAAGACCAAAGAGGGGGACCUUCGGGCCUCUUGCCAUCGGAUGUGCCCAGAUGGGAUUAGCUAGUAGGUGGGGUAACGGCUCACCUAGGCGACGAUCCCUAGCUGGUCUGAGAGGAUGACCAGCCACACUGGAACUGAGACACGGUCCAGACUCCUACGGGAGGCAGCAGUGGGGAAUAUUGCACAAUGGGCGCAAGCCUGAUGCAGCCAUGCCGCGUGUAUGAAGAAGGCCUUCGGGUUGUAAAGUACUUUCAGCGGGGAGGAAGGGAGUAAAGUUAAUACCUUUGCUCAUUGACGUUACCCGCAGAAGAAGCACCGGCUAACUCCGUGCCAGCAGCCGCGGUAAUACGGAGGGUGCAAGCGUUAAUCGGAAUUACUGGGCGUAAAGCGCACGCAGGCGG
RNAcentral lists this ribosomal RNA (518 nucleotides) under uncultured Pseudomonadota bacterium. RNAcentral describes it as "bacterial SSU rRNA". It matches the Rfam family "Bacterial small subunit ribosomal RNA", at positions 65 to 578 of the family's 1533-position model. The record is from RNAcentral. Lineage: Bacteria; Pseudomonadati; Pseudomonadota.